ACACACAGCCAUAUCACCCUGCAGCCCAAGAUCGGUUACUCACUGAAGCUAAGCAGGGCUGAGCCUGGUCAGUACCUGGAUGGGAGACCACUAGGGAACACUAGGUUGCUGUUGGAA
RNAcentral lists this ribosomal RNA (117 nucleotides) under Danio rerio (zebrafish). Lineage: Eukaryota; Metazoa; Chordata; Actinopteri; Cypriniformes; Danionidae. The record is from RNAcentral.